RNAcentral lists this ribosomal RNA (487 nucleotides) under uncultured bacterium. RNAcentral's name for it is "partial 16S ribosomal RNA". It matches the Rfam family "Bacterial small subunit ribosomal RNA", at positions 28 to 507 of the family's 1533-position model. The record is from RNAcentral.
GACGAACGCUGGCGGCGUGCUUAACACAUGCAAGUCGAACGGAAAGGCCCCCAUCUUGGUGGGGGUGCUCGAGUGGCGAACGGGUGAGUAACACGUGGGUGAUCUGCCCUGUACUUCGGGAUAAGCUUGGGAAACUGGGUCUAAUACCGGAUAGGACCAUGGUUUAGUGUCUCAUGGUGGAAAGAUCAUUGUUUUGGUGCAGGAUGAGCUCGCGGCCUAUCAGCUUGUUGGUGGGGUAAUGGCCUACAAAGGCGGCGACGGGUAGCCGGCCGGCGAGGGUGGACGGCGAAAUUGGGACUGAGACACGGCCCAGACGCGUGCGGGAGGCAGCAGUGGGGAAGAUAGGACAGUGGGCGUAAGCCUGAAGCGGCGACGGAGCGGGGGGGAUGACGGCCUUCGGGUGGUAAGCUCCUUGCGUUAGGGACGAAGCCACGCUUUUGGGGUGUGGUGACGGUACCUUUGUGAAGAAGCACCGGCUAACUACGUG